CGAAGCUCGCGAUGCAUGUGUUGCAUGAUGGAUUAUUCGCCAUACUCUGAAACUGAGACCAUCAAGUUUUUGGUAAUGGUUGUGGGCUCUGUUGUCUUGACGCUCUUCCUUAUUCUAGGCUUUAUCUACCUGGGUAUCGUCGAUAUCGCGGGUGACACAACGAUGAGAAAGACGUCCACAACACCAUGGGUCAUAAUAUGAUGAAGCCUUGGGACACCCACUGUUCUACCACAACGAAACUAUCGCAGACCGGAGCAUAAUUCUGUUCUUCUCCUGCGAGACGAAACGUUCCGAUUUUCAAACAUUUCUUUAUGAAUUGACUAUGAAUGGAAGUGGCUUGGCCAGACCAUUUGUGCAUUCUGACCUAGCAGCGUCUGUUGCCACGGGCUUUCUGCGAAGUUCCGAGAUGCGACGGUAGCUGUGAUGCGUUUUCUAUUUUUAAGCAACAAGGUGUUUGAAUAUAGUUUCCGAUUUUUGACAAGA
This is a long non-coding RNA of Ornithodoros turicata, 483 nucleotides long. RefSeq lists it as uncharacterized. The record is from RefSeq and is a predicted model, not a curated record. The transcript is spliced from 2 exons. NCBI's taxonomy places the organism in Eukaryota, Metazoa, Arthropoda, Arachnida, Ixodida, Argasidae.